UCCGGGCAUGGUGGUGUGUGCCUGUAGUCCCAGCUACUUGGGAGGAUGAGGUGGGAGUAUCGCUUGAGCCCAGGAGUUCUGGGCUGUAGUGUGCUAUGCCGAUCUGGUGUCCAUACUAAGUUCAGCAUCAAUAUGGUGAUCUCCUGGGAGCAGGGGACCAUCAGGUUGCCUAGGGAGGUGAACCAGCCCAGGUCAGAAACGGAGCAGGUCAAAACUCACAUGCUGAUCAGUAGUGGGAUAGUGCCUGUGAGUAGCCACUGCACUCCAGCCUGGGCAGCAUAGCGAGACACUGUCUCA
This 297-nucleotide signal recognition particle RNA is filed under the name Saimiri boliviensis boliviensis (Bolivian squirrel monkey). Its description in RNAcentral is "Metazoan signal recognition particle RNA (ENSSBOG00000003669.1)". It matches the Rfam family "Metazoan signal recognition particle RNA". Rfam says of the family: The signal recognition particle (SRP) is a universally conserved ribonucleoprotein. It is involved in the co-translational targeting of proteins to membranes. The record is from RNAcentral. Lineage: Eukaryota; Metazoa; Chordata; Mammalia; Primates; Cebidae.